Molecule: ribosomal RNA, 253 nt
Filed under: uncultured bacterium
Lineage: Bacteria
Description: partial 16S ribosomal RNA
Rfam family: Bacterial small subunit ribosomal RNA
Source: RNAcentral
UACAGAGGUCUCUAGCGUUGUUCGGAUUCAUUGGGCGUAAAGGGUGCGUAGGCGGCGCGGUAAGUCGGGUGUGAAAUUUCGAGGCUUAACUUCGAAACUGCAUUCGAUACUGCCGUGCUUGAGGACUGGAGAGGAGACUGGAAUUCACGGUGUAGCAGUGAAAUGCGUAGAUAUCGUGAGGAAGACCAGUGGCGAAGGCGGGUCUCUGGACAGUUCCUGACACUGAGGCACGAAGGCCAGGGGAGCAAACGGG